Molecule: non-coding RNA, 111 nt
Filed under: Pantoea sp. PNA 03-3
Lineage: Bacteria; Pseudomonadati; Pseudomonadota; Gammaproteobacteria; Enterobacterales; Erwiniaceae
Description: RprA RNA
Rfam family: RprA RNA
About the family: Translational regulation of the stationary phase sigma factor RpoS is mediated by the formation of a double-stranded RNA stem-loop structure in the upstream region of the rpoS messenger RNA, occluding the translation initiation site. Clones carrying rprA (RpoS regulator RNA A) increased the translation of RpoS.
Source: RNAcentral
ACAAGUUUGAAAUCAACUCACUGAUUUCUAAACACCCUUAUUUCCCCUGAGUAGCGUAAAGAAUUGCUGUGUGUAGUCUUUGCCCAUCCCCUGUGAUGGGCUUUUUUUUUG